CAGCCGCGGUAAGACGUAGGUGGCGAGCGUUAGCCGGAAUUACUGGGCGUAAAGCGCACGCAGGCGGUCUCUUAAGUUGGACGUGAAAGCUCCCGGCUUAACUGGGAGAGGUCGUUGAAGACUGGGAGGCUUGAGGCAAUGAGAGGGGUGUAGAAUUCCCGGUGUAGUGGUGGAAUGCGUAGAUAUCGGGGGGAAUACCAGUGGCGAAAGCGGCACCCUAGCGUUAGCCUGACGCUCAUGUGCGAAAGCGUGGGGAGCGAAC
RNAcentral lists this ribosomal RNA (262 nucleotides) under uncultured bacterium. Its description in RNAcentral is "partial 16S ribosomal RNA". It matches the Rfam family "Bacterial small subunit ribosomal RNA", at positions 512 to 773 of the family's 1533-position model. The record is from RNAcentral.